UUCAGACAGUUCCAGAAUGCUCCAAAAGAAGCACUUGCUCAGUGUGUCUUGGCAGAGAUUCCCCAGCAGGUGGUGGGCUACUUCAAUACAUACAAACUCCUUCCUCCCAAGAACCCAGCCACGAAACAACAGAAGCAGUGACCACUUCAACAGAAUUCUUUUGUGUUAUGUGGAGCAAUGCCAUCUCUCACCCCAAAUCGUGUAUCUGUCAUUCUACGUACUUUUUACCCCCAGCAUUUAUGAUGUAAAUCUCUUUCUCUAUGGAUUAUAUCUGUUUAAAGCAUUCUUUCUAGGUUAUUUUGGGGGGACAGUGCCAAGUCCAUCUUUGCCCAGUCAAUUCAGUGAUUGAUAGCAAUUUACAUUAAUUGCAGUAAAGCUCUUUGGAUUAGAAAUUAGUGUGGGGAAAGCUUAUUCUGUUGUUGUUUUUGUUUACUUUCAUAUGAUGAAAAUGCUGUGUUUAAGUGUUUGUCAAUAGGAAGAAUGGAAAACUGUUGGGAUGAUGUGGUUUGCAGGUUGCUGUGCCUGAUUCACAGUGUAUGUUGUAUAAGCCAAUGUCCAUACCUGAUUAUGAGAGCUUCUUAAAUUAUAUGAUAUCAAAUUUGUUCCUGUAACUCUGUAUACAGUGCUUUUCUGCAAGGUAAAAAUAACCUGUCUAUGCAUCUGAUUUUUGCUACAGUUUAGACACUGUGGUUUACAAAACAGCAUGCACUCAACUUGGGACUUUAUGAAAAGUACUGAAUGAGCAGGAAAAGGCACAUACUCAGUUUUUUAAAUGUACAAUCAACAAGUAAAAAUAACCUCAUGUAAGUAAGCCAUUUUUAUUUGCCUUUCUAGAUAUUUUAUUUUAUUGUGGAAAACUGUAAACAUGGUCAGAUUUGGCUUUUUUUUUCAUUAACUGAGCAAGACUUUCAGGAUAUUGUAGAUGCACAGAUGGUAGGUUGUCCUGAAUUCUACAUUAUUAGAUUACUUUAAUUGAGAUUUGUUAAAACGGUUAGGACUGUUUUGUCCAGGAAAGAUAAGAGGACCAAACAUAUAAGGUGAAAUUCAGAAUUCCGUUUCCUUCUAACUAAUGAAAAACUGCUUACUAAAAAAAAAUUUUAUACUUUCCUUGCUAAGGUCCCAUAUAUUGAUUUGUACAGAUCCACUUAGUCAUUUUCUCCUUUUUUUAAGAACCAUUUUCAUCUGAUUUUUAAACUCACGAUACCAGUUAUCUGUUAAUCAAAAUUGCAUUUUACAAUUUAAUAAUGUGAUAUUUCCUAUGUCUACAGCAUACCUUAUUAGGUAUAAAACCUACUGCAAC
This 1300-nucleotide long non-coding RNA is filed under the name Homo sapiens (human). RNAcentral describes it as "HSALNT0139865". Lineage: Eukaryota; Metazoa; Chordata; Mammalia; Primates; Hominidae. The record is from RNAcentral.